Molecule: ribosomal RNA, 253 nt
Filed under: uncultured bacterium
Lineage: Bacteria
Description: partial 16S ribosomal RNA
Rfam family: Bacterial small subunit ribosomal RNA
Source: RNAcentral
UACGUAGGUGGCAAGCGUUGUCCGGAUUUACUGGGCGUAAAGAGCGCGCAGGCGGUCGUACAAGUCGCGUGUGAAAGCCCCCGGCUCAGCUGGGGAGGGUCACGCGAUACUGUUCGACUCGAAGGCAGGAGAGGGAAGCAGAAUUCCCGGUGUAGUGGUGAAAUGCGUAGAUAUCGGGAGGAAUACCAGUGGCGAAGGCGGCUUCCUGGCCUGUUCUUGACGCUGAGGCGCGAAAGCUAGGGUAGCAAACGGG